RNAcentral lists this unclassified non-coding RNA (1480 nucleotides) under Anthonomus grandis grandis. Its description in RNAcentral is "uncharacterized LOC126749745". The record is from RNAcentral. Lineage: Eukaryota; Metazoa; Arthropoda; Insecta; Coleoptera; Curculionidae.
CACACUUCGUUUACAUUAUUUAAUAAAGAAGUAUGGCGCUUUUGACUCCGUGGUUCCGUUAAAAGGUUUUAAUCCGGGUUAGUGCUUUUAUUAUUAAUAGGAACGAAAGCGAGCUGAUCCUGGAGUCCCUGCAAUCCUUCUCGAAACUCCUGAACAGUUUGCCAGGGUUCAAAUUCAGUUCCUUUCAAGUUACCGGAGCAGUGAGGAUCAAGUUGCUAUUCGGUCAAGAGGAUCCAGGUCUAAGGAGAUCCUCGAUCCAGUUAUUAGGAGAUCUGGCAACAUCCCUUGGCCAGGAGACCAAUUUUGAGGCAUUCAAGGAUCGAGUGAGAUCCAAGGGAACCUCAUCACUUUACUCUUGCAUCUAUGCAAUCCAGACGUGUAUGUUGUCAAGGCCUCUAAAAGUACAAUCCAGAAGGUUGGCCCUUAUCUGGAUUUUCCGGAGGUAUACCGCAUGAUCCAGGAGUGUUUGGGCGACGACACCGACUUGAUGUUCACGGAUUUUAUUAAGGAGUUAAUUAAACGCAUAGGAUUUAUGGAAUCAAUGAUAUCAAGGUUACUUGGGGAUCAAAUCGAGGACGAGUUGGUUUAAUGGUGGUGUCUAAGCGCCAAUCCCGCCCUUGUCACCGGUUUUUUCUACGCCAAACUACUAAAGUUUCACUGGAAACUGUCUGCGAUAAACUGAUUAGACUGAUGCAAGACGAGUCAGAAGAAGUUAGGAUUAAGGCAAGUCAAGCUAUAUCGUGUUUGUUUUUAUAAUUAUUUAUUUUUAAUUUUUACAACGGGGCACCUUGUACGUAAUAAUAAAAAACUAAAAAAAUUGUAGUUUUUGAAAAAAAAAACGAAAUUUCGGUUUUUUACCAUUAACAUGUACUUUAUAAGUUCGUAAAUUUUGCAUAACUUUUUUGGUAUUUAAGAUAGAGCUUUCAUUUAAAAACUGUCAAAUACUCCUUGCAAAGGGGCACCUUGUACGUAAUAAUCAAAAACUAAAAAAAUUGUAGUUUUUGAAAAAAAUCGAAAUUUCGGUUUUUUACAAUUAACAUGUACUUUUUUAGAUCGAAAAUUUUGCAUAACUUUUUUGUUAUUAAAGAUAGAGCUUUCGUUUAAAAACAGUCAACUACUCCUAGCGAAGGGGCACCUUGCACAUAAUUAUCAAAAUUUAAAAAAUUAUAGUUUUUGAGAAAAAUCGAAAUUUCGGUUUUUUACAAUUAACAUGUACUUUUUUAGAUCGAAAAUUUUGCAUAACUUUUUUGUUAUUAAAGAUAGAGCUUUCAUUUAAAAACUGUCAAGUACUCCUUGCAAAGGGGCACCUUGUACGUAAUAAUCAAAAACUAAAAAAAUUGUAGUUUUUGAAAAAAAUCGAAAUUUCGGUUUUUUACAAUUAACAUGUACUUUUUUAGAUCGAAAAUUUUGCAUAACUUUUUUGUUAUUAAAGAUAGAGCUUUCGUUUAAAAACAGUCAACUACUCCUAGCGAAGCAGCAC